GACGAACGCUGGCGGCGUGCUUAACACAUGCAAGUCGAACGGAAAGGCCCUGCUUUUGUGGGGUGCUCGAGUGGCGAACGGGUGAGUAACACGUGAGUAACCUGCCCUUGACUUUGGGAUAACUUCAGGAAACUGGGGCUAAUACCGGAUAGGAGCUCCUGCUGCAUGGUGGGGGUUGGAAAGUUUCGGCGGUUGGGGAUGGACUCGCGGCUUAUCAGCUUGUUGGUGGGGUAGUGGCUUACCAAGGCUUUGACGGGUAGCCGGCCUGAGAGGGUGACCGGCGACAUUGGGACUGAGAUAGGGCGCAGACGGGUACGGGAGGCAGCAGUGGGGAGUCUGGCCCAAUGGGCGGAAGCCUGAGGCAGCAACGCCGCGUGCGGGAUGACGGCCUGCUGGUUGUAAACCGCUUUCGCCUGUGACGAAGCGUGAGUGACGGUAAUGGGUAAAGAAGCACCGGCUAACUACGUG
Molecule: ribosomal RNA, 468 nt
Filed under: uncultured bacterium
Lineage: Bacteria
Description: partial 16S ribosomal RNA
Rfam family: Bacterial small subunit ribosomal RNA
Source: RNAcentral